UUGAAGUUGAAAAGAUAUUAGUGUUAGGAUUUGGUUAGAUUUGUAGUUAAAUCCUAUUUGGAUAAGAAUUAAUAUUUAAAUUUGUUUGAGAUAAAUUAAGAUUUAAAUAUUAAUUAGAGGAUAAACCUAACUAGAUUAGGAUUAAUAUUUAAAUCUAUUAGAGAUUGAUUAAGAUACACUACAACAAAAAUGCUUUUUAGCGGCGACUUUUUGGUGGCGACGCGUACUGUCGCCACCAAUAUAUUAAAUAUGGUGGCGACAUUUAUUUGUCGCCGCCAAUUCAUAGAAAAUGGCGGCGA
RNAcentral lists this long non-coding RNA (299 nucleotides) under Ananas comosus (pineapple). RNAcentral describes it as "long non-coding RNA (ACOM_LNC036852)". The record is from RNAcentral. Lineage: Eukaryota; Viridiplantae; Streptophyta; Magnoliopsida; Poales; Bromeliaceae.